Small nuclear RNA from Hyla sarda, 198 nucleotides. RefSeq annotates it as U2 spliceosomal RNA. The transcript has a single exon. The record is from RefSeq and is a predicted model, not a curated record. NCBI's taxonomy places the organism in Eukaryota, Metazoa, Chordata, Amphibia, Anura, Hylidae.
AUAAGAUCUUGGAACUCUGAGUGAGUUCUGAGGGCUAACUUAAAAUCUGUUCUUAUCAGUUUAAUAUCUGAUACGUCCCCUAUCUGGGGACCAUAUAUUAAAUGGAUUUUUGAGAACGGGGGCCGAUUUCGAAGCUUGCUUCCGUCGCCCUAUGCAUUGACCCGAUAUGGCAGUAUCUUCGGGUACAGUGCACCACCC